RNAcentral lists this ribosomal RNA (229 nucleotides) under Escherichia coli. RNAcentral's name for it is "partial 23S ribosomal RNA". It matches the Rfam family "Bacterial large subunit ribosomal RNA", at positions 2124 to 2352 of the family's 2925-position model. The record is from RNAcentral. Lineage: Bacteria; Pseudomonadati; Pseudomonadota; Gammaproteobacteria; Enterobacterales; Enterobacteriaceae.
UUGAGCCUUGAUGUGUAGGAUAGGUGGGAGGCUUUGAAGUGUGGACGCCAGUCUGCAUGGAGCCGACCUUGAAAUACCACCCUUUAAUGUUUGAUGUUCUAACGUUGGCCCGUUAUCCGGGUUGCGGACAGUGUCUGGUGGGUAGUUUGACUGGGGCGGUCUCCUCCUAAAGAGUAACGGAGGAGCACGAAGGUUGGCUAAUCCUGGUCGGACAUCAGGAGGUUAGUGC